UACGGAGGGUGCAAACGUUGCUCGGAAUCAUUGGGCGUAAAGCGCACGUAGGCGGCGUGAUAAGUUGGGUGUGAAAGCCCUGGGCUCAACCCAGGAAGUGCAUUCAAAACUGUCUCGCUUGAAUCUCGGAGGGGGUCAGAGAAUUCCCGGUGUGGAGGUGAAAUUCGUAGAUAUCGGGAGGAAUACCAGUGGCGAAGGCGCUGACCUGGGCGAAGAUUGACGCUGAGGUGCGAAAGCGCGGGGAGCAAACAGG
Molecule: ribosomal RNA, 253 nt
Filed under: uncultured bacterium
Lineage: Bacteria
Description: partial 16S ribosomal RNA
Rfam family: Bacterial small subunit ribosomal RNA
Source: RNAcentral